Molecule: ribosomal RNA, 393 nt
Filed under: uncultured bacterium
Lineage: Bacteria
Description: bacterial SSU rRNA
Rfam family: Bacterial small subunit ribosomal RNA
Source: RNAcentral
AAUCAACGCUGGCGGCGUGCCUAACACAUGCAAGUCGAACGCGAAAGGGGGCGUUCGGCUCCUAAGUAGAGUGGCGUCCGGGUGAGUAACACGUAGGUAAUCUGCCUUCGGGUGGGGAAGUAACCAGUCGAAGAUUGGCUAAUACCGCAUAAUGCAGCGGCACCUAAUGGUGAUUAGUUGUUAAAGCGGGGGAGUCGUAAGACCUCGCGCCUGAAGAGGAGCCUGCGGCAGANAGCUAGUUGGUGAGGUAAUGGCUCACCAAGGCUUCGAUCUGUAGCUGGUCUGAGAGGACGGCCAGCCACACUGGCACUGACACACGGGCCAGACUCCUACGGGAGGCAGCAGUGGGGAAUUUUGGGCAAUGGGCGAAAGCCUGACCCAGCAACGCCGCGU